Molecule: ribosomal RNA, 254 nt
Filed under: uncultured bacterium
Lineage: Bacteria
Description: partial 16S ribosomal RNA
Rfam family: Bacterial small subunit ribosomal RNA
Source: RNAcentral
UACGUAGGGACCAAGCGUUGUUCGGAUUUACUGGGCGUAAAGGGCGCGUAGGCGGCAAUUCAAGUCAUCUGUGAAAUCUCCGGGCUUAACUCGGAACGGUCAGAUGAUACUGCUUUGCUAGAGUGCGGAAGUGGCAAUCGGAAUUCUUGGUGUAGCGGUGAAAUGCGUAGAUAUCAAGAGGAACACCUGAGGUGAAGACGGGUUGCUGGGCCGACACUGACGCUGACAGCGCGAAAGCCAGGGGAGCAAACGGG